AUCAAUUCCAUUUAAGGCUUUAAAAAGACAUAUGGAUAACAUUAUUGGCUACAGACCCUUAAGAAAACUAAGGUAAACGUAUUUAUCUGAAGCUGGAAGAACACUUUCAGACAUAAUGGGAGCAUUCCCUCAUGGAGCAUGAGGGUGGCCUAAAUGACCUUAUCAGACAGUGGAACAGCUGAGACCGAGAACUGUGAUGGGUGAUUUGAAGAGCUUGGAGCAAGGGU
Homo sapiens (human) is the source of this 227-nucleotide long non-coding RNA. RefSeq lists it as uncharacterized. Lineage: Eukaryota; Metazoa; Chordata; Mammalia; Primates; Hominidae. The transcript has 3 exons. The record is from RefSeq and is a predicted model, not a curated record.